GAUGAACGCUGGCGGCGUGCCUAAUACAUGCAAGUCGAGCGAACAGACGAGGAGCUUGCUCCUCUGACGUUAGCGGCGGACGGGUGCGUAACACGUGGAUAACCUACCUAUAAGACUGGGAUAACGUCGGGAAACCGGAGCUAAUACCGGAUAAUAUAGUGAACCGCAUGGUUCAAUAGUGAAAGACGGUUUUGCUGUCACUUAUAGAUGGAUCCGCGCCGCAUUAGCUAGUUGGUAAGGUAACGGCUUACCAAGGCAACGAUGCGUAGCCGCCCUGAGAGGGUGAUCGGCCACACUGGAACUGAGACACGGUCCAGACUCCUACGGGGGGCAGCAGUAGGGAAUCUUCCGCAAUGGGCGAAAGCCUGACGGAGCAACGCCGCGUGAGUGAUGAAGGUCUUCGGAUCGUAAAACUCUGUUAUUAGGGAAGAACAAAUGUGUAAGUAACUAUGCACGUCUUGACGGUACCUAAUCAGAAAGCCACGGCUAACUACGUG
RNAcentral lists this ribosomal RNA (497 nucleotides) under uncultured bacterium. Its description in RNAcentral is "partial 16S ribosomal RNA". It matches the Rfam family "Bacterial small subunit ribosomal RNA", at positions 28 to 507 of the family's 1533-position model. The record is from RNAcentral.